This 3131-nucleotide ribosomal RNA is filed under the name Nicotiana attenuata. RNAcentral's name for it is "eukaryotic LSU rRNA". The stretch from base 130 to 2139 matches the Rfam family "Eukaryotic large subunit ribosomal RNA". Lineage: Eukaryota; Viridiplantae; Streptophyta; Magnoliopsida; Solanales; Solanaceae. The record is from RNAcentral.
AAAUGUGAGUCCACGACGACGGACGUCACGACAAGUGGUGGUUGAAACUCAACUCUCGUAAUUUCGCGGCUCCAACACGUAGCAUGUUUGGGUUCCCUGACCCUUAUCGCGCUUAGGCGCACCGACCGCGACCCCAGGUCAGGCGGGACUACCCGCUGAGUUUAACCAUAUCAAUAAACGGAGGAAAAGAAACUUACAAGGAUUCCCCUAGUAACAGCGAGCGAACCGGGUUGUUUGGGAAUGCAGCCCAAAUCGGGCGGUGAAUUUCGUCCAAGGCUAAAUACGGGCGAGAGAUCGAUAGCGAACAAGUACCGCGAGGGAAAGAUGAAAAGGACUUUGAAAAGAGAGUCAAAGAGUGCUUGAAAUUAUCCGGAGGAAAGCGGAUGGGGGCCGGUGAUACGCCCCGGUCGGAUGUGGAACGGUGUUGAGCCGAUCCGCCGAUCGACUCGGGGCGUGGACCAGCGUGGAUUGGUGGGGCAUCCAAAGCCCAGGCCAUUGAUAUGCCCGUGGAACGCCGUCUCCUCGAUUGUUGUAGGCAGCGCGCGCCUUUGUCGUGCUUCGGCAUCUGCGCGCUCCGGACGCUGGCCUGUGGGCUCCCCAUUCGACCCGUCUUGAAACACAGACCAAGGAGUCUGACAUGUCUGCGAGUCAACGGGCGAGUAAACCCGUAAGGCGUAAGGAAGCUAAUUGGUGGGAUCCCCCUAAGGGGUGCAUCGCCGACCGACCUUGAUCUUCUGUGAAGGGUUUGAGUGUGAGCAUACCUGUCGGGACACGAAAGAUGGUGAACUAUGCCUGAGCGGGGCGAAGCCAUAGGAACUGGUGGAGGCCCGCAGCGAUACUGACGUGCAAAUCGUUCGUCUGACUUGGGUAUAGGGGAGAAAGUCUAAUCGAACCAUCUAGUAGCUGGUUCCCUCUGAAGUUUCCCUCAGGAUAGCUAGCGCUCGCGUGCGAGUUCUAUCGGGUAAAGCCAAUGAUUAGCGGCAUCGGGGGCGCACACCCUCGACCUAUUCUCAAACUUUAAAUAGGUAGGACGACACGACUGCUUUGUUGAGCCGCGCCACGGAAUCAAGAGCUCCAAGUGGGCCAUUUUUUGUAAACAGAACUGGCGAUGCUGGAUGAAUAGAAAGCCGGGUUAAGGUGCCAAACUGCCCGCAAACCUAGAUCCCACAAAGGGUGUUGGUCGAUUAAGACAGCAGGACGGUGGUCAUGGAAGUCGAAAUCCGCUAAGGAGUGUGUAACAACUCACCUGCCGAAUCAACUAGCCCAGAAAAUGGAUGGCGCUUAAGCGCGCGACCUACACCCGGUCGACGGGGCAAGUGCCAGGCUCCGAUGAGUAGGAGGGCACGCCGGCCACUGCAAAACCUUGGGGUGAGCCUGGGCGGAGCGGUCGUCGGUGCAGAUCUUGGUGGUAGUAGUAAAUAUUCAAAUGAGAACUUUGAAGGCCGAAGAGGGGAAAGGUUCCAUGUGAACGACACUUGCACAUGGGUUAGUCGAUCCUAAGGGUCGGGGGAACCCCGACAGAUAGCGCGUUUUGCGCGUACUCCGAAAAGGAAUCGGGUUAAAAUUCCUGGAACCGGACAUGGCGGUUGACGACAACGUUAGGAAGUCCGGAGACGUCGGCGGGGGCCUCGAGAAGAGUUCAUCUUUUCUGUUUAACAGCCUGCCCACCCUAGAAACGACUCAGUCGGAGGUAGGGUCCAGUAGAGCACCGCACAUCGCGUGGUGUUCGGUGCGCCCCCGGCGGCCCUUGAAAAUUCAGAGGACCGAGUGCCGUCCACACCCGGUGGUACUCAUAACCGCAUCAGGUCUCCAAGGUGAACAACCUCUGGUCGAUGGAACAAUGUAGGCAAGGGAAGUUGGCAAAAUGGAUCCGUAACUUCGGGAUAAGGAUUGACUCUGAGGGCUGGUGAUCGCUGCCAACUCCGCACCACUAAAAAGUAGCGAGAGGGUCGCAAUAGCUUUUACCCGAUUUGUGGGUCGGGAUCGAAUCCACAGAGAGCUAGGAUUGGAAUCGAGUAUCUAUUUAGCUUAGGAUUCCGUAUGUGCUCUUAAUUGGUCUUCUAUUCAUUUUUGAUUUUUCUUUAUAUUCUACUAUGAUCAAACUACAAAUUAUAAUUGCAACUAAAUUAGACUAAGAGUAAAUUGCUACAAAUUGUAUCUAAUGGUUUAAAAGGCACUAGGGUAGUGACCUUCACCUAGGUGGCUAAUUGACGGGUAAUUGCAUCUAAGGCAUGAUUGACAUGAUUGGGGAAAUAUGUUAUAACUGUUGCUCGAUACUACCCACUCUACACCUCUCGGUAGAAAGAGUGGUUUUGCCCAAUUGACACUCUCAAGACCAAUUAGGUAUGCAUAUUUGCCCAAGCAACUAGGGUUCAAGUCGGGUAAUUACUCUCUCGAGGUUUAACCCUUUNCCAUCACAAUCAUCAUCAAAUUGCUCAAAAUUCCCUUGAUUUUGUUGCCUUCUUUGCCUUUUCUUGUUGGUAAGCAAAUUAACACUUUCCAUAGCAUUCACUUGGCGAGGGUUUUGAACUUGUUGCAGUUGUGCCUUAGCCAAUUGAUUCAUAGUAGUUGUCAACUCCGCUGUAGUCUGCCCAUGGUCGUGUAACUCCUUAUGCAAAUGAAUAACUGUAGGAUCACCUUGGGGAACAUUGGCUCUACUUUGCCAUGCGGAAGACGUAUCCGCCAUCUCGUCAAGAAUCUCGCAAGCUUCAUCAUAAGACAACUUCAUGAUAUUACCCCCGGCCAAUAGAUUGACUAUGCACUUAUUUGUAGUAUUGAUGCCCCGAUAGAAGGUUUGUUGAAUCAUCGCCCCGGUCAUAUCGUUGUUUGGGCAUUCUUUCACCAUUGUUCUAAACCGCUCCCAAAUCUCAUGUAAGGGUUCCGUGGGUUCUUGCUUGAAAGCCAAUAUCUCAUCUCGAAGUGCCGCCAUGUGCCCGGGUGAGAAAUUUUUUGCAAUAAACUUAUCCGCCAACUCAUCCCAAAUUGUGAUGGAAUGGUUGGGAGUCUCUCUAGCCAAUCCAAUGCCUUUCCCCGAAGUGAGAACGGGAAAAGUCUCAACCUAAGAGCAUCUUCGGAUACAUUCGUCUGCUUGCUACCCCAACAUGUAUCCAUGAACCCUUUGAGAUGUUUGU